Non-coding RNA from Neolamprologus brichardi, 174 nucleotides. The record is from RefSeq and is a predicted model, not a curated record. Lineage: Eukaryota; Metazoa; Chordata; Actinopteri; Cichliformes; Cichlidae.
CCAGCCAGAAAAACUGAAACAACCACAACAAUUAAGAUGCUUCUAAAAUCAGAUGAUACAACAGCAAAAACUGUGGACAAUGAAAACACGACACCAAACAACAAAUCAUCAGGAGAUUCAACACAUGCGAUCCAGUGGUUCAUCAUUCCAGCUGUGGGCUUAGUCUCACUCUUG